RNAcentral lists this long non-coding RNA (1068 nucleotides) under Parus major (Great Tit). RNAcentral describes it as "lncRNA (ENSPMJG00000004282.1)". Lineage: Eukaryota; Metazoa; Chordata; Aves; Passeriformes; Paridae. The record is from RNAcentral.
GAGAUUUGCAGCCAGAGAGAAACAGUGCUGGGAGCAGCUGGAUUUGGUAUCCUGUGCCAAAGGCACAAAUCAGCUAUCAACAGUUCUUUCACAGAAGCAGCAUUUGGCCUGACUUUGUGGCCAAGGCAGCUCUUGGUGCCUUGAACAUUCUCCUCUGCUGGGAACAGGUAGAGCAAUGGGAAGAGAAACUGCCUUAGGAUUUACUUCACUCUUCACUUACCUGGGACUCUUUCAAGUGUUGGCGUCACUGCAGAUUCAGCAAAAGGGAAAAGCUCAGGGCACCCUCCUGCCUCCCUCUUCAAAAAGAAGGAAAAUAACUGUUUUUUCUGAAGUCACCCAUUCCACCAAGCAAAUACUGAAUGCAUUUGGGAGAGCCUGGAAAGCCAGAGUGCUGACAGAAAUUAGUGUUUGGAAGAGGAAUACAUAUAAUUUCCAUGCAAGUUUUAUACCAGUGCAGUACAUGAGCCAAAGCACAAACCACCUGCACAUCCCACUGCCCUCGGGCAUGCUUUGCAUUAGGACCAGAAGGAUGUGGAACACAUUUAGAGAUGCCAAGCCAUUACUCCUCCCAUAUGGUUUAUUGAGGAUCUCAGUUUCCAAAGCAUGAGUAGCAGUGAGGCCCAUUAUUCUUUCCAGCAUGCAAAAGGCACAAGAAAGUCAUCAAUGUGAUUCUGUGCAAAGUGUCCCUAAGAAAACACACAGCGAGGAAAUGACAGAAAAGAGCCCCCAAUGGAAGAAUGCCAAAGCGCCUUCAGGAAAGUGCUGAAAAGUUCUGAAAAUGGUUGUACUUUUUCAGAGUCCAGAUAUGCUCAGUUGGUGAAAGAUGCUUUGCAAAUCCGUGAAAGAAAACUCAAGAGACAGAGCCAAAAGGCUUAAAACAAUAAUCUCCUUCAUGUGCCAGAAUUCAGGAUGAAAGUCAAAAUGAUUUGUCUCAAGAAAAAAGUGUGGCAGUUAAAGACAGACAUUAAAUUCUUUAAAAAAAAAGCCCACCAAAACCAGACGUAGAAAGUGGAUACAUUCUAAGAGCAGCUCAAUAAAAAAUAUUCCUUUUAAUGAAAAUAAUUUCUU